RNAcentral lists this microRNA (23 nucleotides) under Macaca mulatta (Rhesus monkey). RNAcentral's name for it is "Mml-Mir-506-P5o3_3p* (star (passenger))". Lineage: Eukaryota; Metazoa; Chordata; Mammalia; Primates; Cercopithecidae. The record is from RNAcentral.
UAAAUGUCACCUUUCUGCGAAGG